Salmo salar (Atlantic salmon) is the source of this 68-nucleotide non-coding RNA. The record is from Rfam. Lineage: Eukaryota; Metazoa; Chordata; Actinopteri; Salmoniformes; Salmonidae.
UCCUUGGUAGCUCAGUUGGUAGAGCAUGGCGCUUGUAAUGCCAUGGUAGUAGGUUCAAUUCCCGGGAC